RNAcentral lists this long non-coding RNA (214 nucleotides) under Olea europaea (common olive). Its description in RNAcentral is "long non-coding RNA (OEUR_LNC002279)". Lineage: Eukaryota; Viridiplantae; Streptophyta; Magnoliopsida; Lamiales; Oleaceae. The record is from RNAcentral.
ACAGAUCAGAAAUCGGUAGAAAAAUAGAAAAAUAGAACUAUCCAAUUUUUGCACAAAAAAUCACAACUACAAACUCGAUUUUCCGUCAAUCUAGAAGUCCAUUUGAGACGUGCAGGUGGAGGCGGCGCUGGAUGUGCAGCACGUGUUCCCAGCGACGGCGCGUAAGGGCCCAUGGCGUCGAUUUUGGGAAAGUUGUCUUCAAGUAGUUUGUUCC